CAUUACCGAUACCACCAGUUGCCCAAUGCAUGGGCACGGCUCAAAAGCCAUCGCUUCCGGACACUUUGAGGACGG
RNAcentral lists this unclassified non-coding RNA (75 nucleotides) under Pseudomonas granadensis. RNAcentral describes it as "Pseudomonas sRNA P10". The record is from RNAcentral. Lineage: Bacteria; Pseudomonadati; Pseudomonadota; Gammaproteobacteria; Pseudomonadales; Pseudomonadaceae.